UGGUUGUUGCUAAUUGUGAGAGCCUGAUAUUCUGCUUGAGAGAGCAAAUGCUGGUCUUGGAACAGAGACCAACACCAACAGGCCUAGCAAAACAUUUAUAUGAAAAAGAGAGCUAGUAACGAAAAUUAUCAUUUGAUACCAAAUAAGCGCACAACUUCAUUCUAAGAGAACAUAUGAAGUUAAUGCAAGACUCCAGACUAAGCUUUUCGGCUUCACAUCCAGUUAGAGCUAGUUUCAAGAUCGCAAG
This 247-nucleotide unclassified non-coding RNA is filed under the name Hevea brasiliensis (rubber tree). Lineage: Eukaryota; Viridiplantae; Streptophyta; Magnoliopsida; Malpighiales; Euphorbiaceae. The record is from RNAcentral.